Non-coding RNA from Saimiri boliviensis boliviensis (Bolivian squirrel monkey), 4035 nucleotides. The record is from RefSeq and is a predicted model, not a curated record. NCBI's taxonomy places the organism in Eukaryota, Metazoa, Chordata, Mammalia, Primates, Cebidae.
AGACCCGACCUGAAGUUUCAGUGUACUCCGCAAGCUUUUCAAGUUAUAAAUCAUGGAGACCAGUCAGGAAACUUCCCUCUUCUUGGUGAAGAUCUUGGAGGAACUGGACAGCAAGCAAAAUACCGUUUCUUAUCAGGACCUGUGCAAAUCUCUGUGUGCGCGGUUCGAUCUGUCGCAGCUUGCCAAACUGAGAAGCGUGCUCUUCUACACGGCCUGUCUCGAUCCCAAUUUUCCAGCCACGCUCUUCAAAGACAAGAUGAAAUGCACUGUGAAUAACCAGCAAUCGAAGAAAAUCAUGGUGGCCGCAGAUAUAGUGACGAUAUUCAACCUGAUCCAAAUGAAUGGCGGGGCCGCCAAGGAGAAGCUGCCUACGGGCCACCAGAAGGCGCGCAAGAAGGAGGCGUCCUUUGACUCGCGCAGGACGGACGCAGACGUCUGCAAUUCAGCCGAGUGUGAGCCCCUGAACUGCCAGCUGAGUGAGAGGUCUUUCAGCCGGGGCCACCCCACCAGGCAGUCGUCCAAGUGCCGGAAGCUAGACUGCAAGGACUGCCUGCAGUUCAUCCCUGCCUCUGAGCCUAACUUCCUCUUGGGGGUUAGCAAAGAGGUGAAACACCGAGCUGCUUCCCUGGACAGGCUGCAGGCGCUGGCCCCUUACUCUGUGACCAGCCCUCAGCCCUGUGAGAUGCAGAGGACGUAUUUCCCCAUGAACAUUGAAAACGAGUCCAUUUCAGACCAGGAUUCCCUGCCCAUCAACCAGAGCAUCAAGGAGACCUUCAUUUCCAAUGAGGAGCCAUUUGUGGUCCAGUCCUGUGUCCAGAAAAGGAACAUCUUUAAAGAGGAUUUUCACAAUUUGAUGGCAGUGUCCCCCAGUAUGGUUGGCCCCAUCAGCAAAGCAGAGAAUGAGCACGGGGAAUCCCAGAGUCGAAAGGAACCCCACAAGCCACCCUUCUUUAACCACAGCUUUGAAAUGCCCUAUAACAGCCAGUACCUGAACCCGGUGUAUUCCCCUGUUCCUGACAAAAGGCGAGCAAAGCACGAAAGCUUAGAUGACCUUCAAGCCUCUACAUACUUCGGGCCCACUCCCGUGAUGGGGACCCAGGAAGCCAGGCGCUGUCCAGGGAGGCCCAGCAAGCAGACUCCAUGGCCAGCCAAAAGCUGGAGCCUGAACACGGAGGAAGUUCCUGACUUUGAACGGUCCUUUUUCAAUAGAAAUCCCUCCGAGGAGAAGCUACGCUAUCCAAAUGCCAGUAGCCAGACUCCCAAUUUCCCAGCCCCAGACAGGUGCCCGACUUACCUCGUGCCAAACGAUCCGCAGUCAAUUCUCCCCAUUGCUUAUGCAGCAAAACCAAACGGGCUCAAAUCUAAAGAGAUCUCCUCCCCUGUAGACCUGGAGAAGCAUGAACCCAUCAAAAAGUUUAAAGACAAGAGCAUUAACUGCACCAGCAGGCAGCUCAGCUCAGACACCAGCAGCGUGGGCACCCAGACCGAGCACGUGCUGGAGCCCAAGAAGUGCAAAGACCCGUGCACCUCCGGUCAGGGCAAGUAUGGUGACAGGCACGCCAUGAAGCACUCAGACGAUGACUCGGAAGUUGUCAGUGACGACAUCAGUGACAUUUUCCGAUUUCUUGACGACAUGAGCAUCAGUGGCUCCACGGGAGUGAUACAGUCAUCCUGCUACGACAGCACAGGGUCCUUGUCUCAGCUCCAUAAGUCCGACUGCGACAGCUCCCCCGAGCACAACUUAACCAAAAUUGCCAAUGGGGUCCCCAACAGCAAGGGAGACAAAGGCAGCCGGCCUGAGAACACCCACCACUCGGAAGAAGAGCUGAAGACCAGCGUGUGCAAACUGGUGGUCAGGAUCGGCGAAAUCGAACGGAAGCUGGAAUCCCUGUCGGGUGUCCGUGAGGAGAUCUCCCAGGUCUUGGGCAAACUAAAUAAAUUAGACCAGAAAAUGCAACAGCCUGAGAAGGUGAAUGUGCAGAUGGACCUGAACUCGUUGACGAGCGAGGCUCCGUCUGACGACAGUGCCUCUCCCCGGGUGUUCCGCACACACAGUAGCACCCAUGGACCCAAACUGGAGAACAAUCCUGACUGGUGCUGUUCUGAUGCUAGUGGGAGCAACAGCGAAACCCUGCGGGUCAAGGCCUUAAAAAAAAGCCUCUUCACCAGGCCGUCCUCUAGGUCUCUAACGGAGGAGAACAGUGCCACGGAGUCCAAAAUUGCCAGCAUCUCCAACUCACCCAGAGACUGGCGUACCAUCACUUACACCAACCGCGUAGGCCUCAGUGAGGAGGAGAUAAAAGACCCGGGCCCAGGAGAGAGUAAAGACUGGCAUCGGAAAUCUAAAGAGGCAGACAGGCAGUACGACAUCCCCCCACAGCACCGACUGCCCAAGCAGCCCAAAGAUGGCUUCCUGGUGGAGCAGGUGUUCAGCCCGCACCCCUACCCUGCGUCCCUCAAAGCCCACAUGAAGAGCAACCCCCUGUACACUGACAUGCGGCUGACCGAGCUGGCCGAGGUGAAGCGAGGCCAACCUUCCUGGACCAUUGAGGACUAUGCACGGAACACGGGCGACAAGGGCAAGCUGACAGCCCUGGACCUGCAGCACGUGGGAUAAGCAUAUUUGUGGGAGCCCAGCUAUGGAUUAUGUUUCCAUACGGAGCCACCCCAGACACAAGAAUCUUUAAACCCAAACAACUUAGAGUACUGGAUGGAAGACAUUUAUACUCCAGGCUACGAUUCAUUACUAAAACGUAAAGAAGCCGAAUUCAGACGAGCCAAGGUCUGCAAGAUAGCUGCUCUGAUCGCUGCCGCGGCGUGCACGGUCAUUCUGGUGAUUGUCGUGCCCAUCUGCACAAUGAAAUCAUGAGCUGAGAAUGCAACCUGCGUGCGGCGUGCGACUACUGACGUCUUGUCUGUGUUUUAGAAUCUUGCAGCAGUGAGGCAACAGUCUGUUGAGAUCGAGAUGAAAUCAUGGAAGCUUUUUUGCAAAUGUUGAAUGAAGGCGGUUUUUAGAAAAUGCACAUUCUAGUGAGAAAUCUACCCACAUAUUAGCUUUGACUUAAUGACACUCGAUGCAUUUUUAGAAGUGCAAUAUCUUUUCCUACCAAAAGAAUGUAAUGGACUAGCAGUAAAUACAAAUUGACUAUCCCAAGCCAAAAAAAAAAAAAAAAGAGAGAAAGAUUAAUUGGGUUCUUUCCGUUUUGAUAAUGUUUAAUGGUGAGGAAUAAGUUAUGCAGAAGAUGUUUAAUACAUGCCUCUUUAGAAGAAACUAAGGGAAAUAUCAACAUAAGACGGAAAGAGGGUGAGUUCUCUUUUCCAUAAUGCUCUUAGACCAUUGCUGGUGAAGUAACAGGGUGCAUGUCCCUAACGGGUAUUCCGUCUCUGCCGACUUUCAUCAAGGGCUACUGACUUUCAUUGAUGCCCUUUUGCCAUCAACAUGACAGAAUGUCUGCAUCACUGCAGACUUUCAUGGAAACAUUCUGGACCUUCUUCCUUGUGCCUGGGGUAAGAAGGAGCUGGACUACCCACUCAGGCGUGGAAUGAAGUGUUCAGACUGCAUGAUGGCCAAGGUAUUCAGGCCAGGAGACCUUCCCGUCCUCAGUCCAAAGUGUAGGGGAGUUGCUUGCCAAUGACGUAAGGUCAAGUCUUUGAAAAUCACGGCCACUCCAAAGAUCUCCUGUUCCUGCUUUUGGUGUAUGGCUGUAUUCCGUAAUUUUCUAUCUCCUGGUAUAUCAGAGGCUCUGCCUCUCAUUCAUGAGUUGAAGAGUUUGGAACCUCUCCUUGUGCCUUGAAGAGCAGAGACAAUGGCUAAACCUUGACAUUCUAUCCGUAAACCACGGUUUUCAUGCACCGCCAAUGUCAGCCAUUUUCAGUGGCUUUAAAAUGAUUUUGAAAGCUUGUUCAAUAAUAUAAUAACAAUAAAGGCACUGGGGUUUUCUCAGUGACCACAACACCUACUCCAGAGUUUUGAAUACCUUAUCAGCAGUGCAAAAAAAUAUUAUCUAUUUAACCACUUAUCUAUAUGUCUAUCUA